ACGCUCGACACCUACGGGAGGCAGCAGUGGGGAAUAUUGCACAAUGGGGGAAACCCUGAUGCAGCAACGCCGCGUGAAGGAAGACGGUUUUCGGAUUGUAAACUUCUGUUCUUAGUGAAGAUAGUGACGGUAGCUAAGGAGCAAGCCACGGCUAACUACGUGCCAGCAGCAGCGGUAAUCUGAGCGGGCUGGCAAGGC
This 198-nucleotide ribosomal RNA is filed under the name uncultured bacterium. Its description in RNAcentral is "partial 16S ribosomal RNA". It matches the Rfam family "Bacterial small subunit ribosomal RNA", at positions 328 to 539 of the family's 1533-position model. The record is from RNAcentral.